RNAcentral lists this ribosomal RNA (253 nucleotides) under uncultured Rickettsia sp. Its description in RNAcentral is "partial 16S ribosomal RNA". It matches the Rfam family "Bacterial small subunit ribosomal RNA", at positions 400 to 670 of the family's 1533-position model. The record is from RNAcentral. Lineage: Bacteria; Pseudomonadati; Pseudomonadota; Alphaproteobacteria; Rickettsiales; Rickettsiaceae.
AGUGAGUGAUUGAGGCCCUAGGGUUGUAAAGCUCUUUUAGCAAGGAAGAUAAUGACGUUACUUGCAGAAAAAGCCCCGGCUAACUCCGUGCCAGCAGCCGCGGUAAGACGGAGGGGGCUAGCGUUGUUCGGAAUUACUGGGCGUAAAGAGUGCGUAGGCGGUUUAGUAAGUUGGAAGUGAAAGCCCGGGGCUUAACCUCGGAAUUGCUUUCAAAACUACUAAUCUAGAGUGUAGUAGAGGAUGAUGGAAUUCC